RNAcentral lists this ribosomal RNA (492 nucleotides) under uncultured bacterium. RNAcentral describes it as "partial 16S ribosomal RNA". It matches the Rfam family "Bacterial small subunit ribosomal RNA", at positions 29 to 507 of the family's 1533-position model. The record is from RNAcentral.
AGUGAACGCUGGCGGUAUGCCUAACACAUGCAAGUCGAACGGCAGCACAGUAAGAGCUUGCUCUUACGGGUGGCGAGUGGCGGACGGGUGAGGAAUACAUCGGAAUCUACUUUUUCGUGGGGGAUAACGUAGGGAAACUUACGCUAAUACCGCAUACGACCUACGGGUGAAAGCAGUGGAUCUUCGGACCUUGCGCGAUUGAAUGAGCCGAUGUCGGAUUAGCUAGUUGGCGGGGUAAAGGCCCACCAAGGCGACGAUCCGUAGCUGGUCUGAGAGGAUGAUCAGCCACACUGGAACUGAGACACGGUCCAGACUCCUACGGGAGGCAGCAGUGGGGAAUAUUGGACAAUGGGCGAAGGCCUGAUCCAGCCAUACCGCGUGGGUGAAGAAGGCCUUCGGGUUGUAAAGCCCUUUUGUUGGGAAAGAAAAGCAGCAGGUUAAUCCACCGCUGUUCUGACGGUACCCAAAGAAUAAGCACCGGCUAACUUCGUG